AUGGCGCCGCCGCCGCAGCACCCGCCGCCGGCGAGCGGCGGCCGUCUCCUCGUGCUCUACGCAUCGCAGACCGGCCACGCCGAGGAAGCCGCUGGGCGCGUGGGCCGCGAGGCCGAGCGCGGCGGCUGCCCUGCCGUCCACGUCCUCUCCAUGGACAGCUUCGACCCUAGCCGCUUGCCGGGAGAAAGGUCUGUGAUCUUCGUCGUGUCCACCGCCGGGCAGGGCGAGCCCCCGGACUCCAUGAAGGGGUUCUGGAGGUACCUUCUGAAGAAGAACCUUGAUGCCCCGUGGCUGCAAGGGCUCCGUUACGCCGUGUUUGGGCUCGGCGAUUCAGGCUACCUGCAGACGUACAAUGUUGCUGCAAUGAAGCUCCGUAAAAGGCUUUCACAGCUUGGUGCGAAAUCGAUCAUAGGGAUAGGCUUGGGAGAUGAACAAGCCUCUUCAGGAUAUGAAAAAGCUCUAGGUCCUUGGGUGCUGUCUUUGUGGAAAUCAUUGAAUCGAACAAAUCCGUCACUUUUACCAAGAAUACCCGACAUAAUUAAUCCUAAUCUGAAUAAUUUGGGGGAUGCAAAGGUCGAAGUCAUAUAUUACUCUUCCGAUGAUACUCCACAAGACUCCACUGUUUCAGACUCCAAGAAAUUAAUCGGGAGAGCGCGCUCAAUGCACCCUGCUCUGAAGUUCCAUAAUGAUGGAGAGCCACAAUACAUGUUAAAGAUGGUAACAAAUGAGCGCUUGACUAAGAAGGAUUCUGAGAGAGAUGUGCGCCAUUUUGAAUUGGAAGACCCAUCUUCUGCGGUCCGUUAUCAAGUUGGUGACGCUUUAGAAAUUCUACCAAGUCAGAAUCCAUCAGCUGUUAAUGCUUUCAUCAAACGCUGUAACUUGGAUCCAGAUUGCUACAUAACGAUACGAGCAAAGGGCGGGGAUGAAGUUUCCAAAGGUUCACCUGUGAAUGGCUUGAUGGAUUGUAUCAAGUUAAAGACCUUUGUUGCUUUGACAAUGGAUGUUGCAUCAGCUUCCCCUGGGCGGUAUUUCUAUGAGAUCAUGAGCUAUUUUGCAACAGUUCAACAUGAAAAGGAAAGGCUUCAUUGUUUUGCAACAACUGAAGAUGAAAAGGAGAGGCUUCAGAAGAAAAGGCUUCAGAAAGAAAGGCUUGAGGAGUUUGCUUCUCCUGAAGGAAGAGAUAUCCUUUACCAGUACAAUCACAAGGAGGGUCGAACUGUUCUAGAAGUAUUGGAGGACUUUCCCUGGGUGCACAUGCCUUUUGAAUGGUUGGUGCAAUUGACGCCGCCGUUGAAGAAAAGAGCAUUUUCGGUAUCGUCGUCCCCAUUGGCACAUCCAAACCAGAUACACUUGACUGUUAGUGUUGUAUCAUGGCUUGCUACUCCUUUCAGGAGAAAGCAUGGUCUCUGCUCCACAUGGCUGGCAGGACUCAAUCCAAAUGAAGAAACUCGUGUACCAUGCUGGAUACACCUAGGAUCCCUGCCUCCUCCAGAUUCGUCGACUCCUCUUGUUCUUAUUGGACCAGGAACAGGAUGUGCGCCAUUCCGAGCAUUCGUGGAGGAGAGGGCUGCACAGAGGGCGAGGCAACCCACAGCUCAGAUCCUAUUCUUCUUCGGCUGUAGAAACGAAGACGAUGAUUUUCUACACAGGGACUUUUGGUCACACCAUGCCCAGGACAACAGAGUUCUGUCCCUGAAAGAGGGUGGCGGUUUCUUUGCCGCCUUCUCUAGGGAUCAGCCUGAGAAGGUGUAUGUGCAACACAAGAUAAGGGAGCAGAGCGCAAGGGUGCUGAACAUGUUAUGCUCUGGUGCCGCAGUAUACGUCGCGGGGUCGUCUACCAAAAUGCCUGCUGAUGUUAGAGCUGCGCUGGAAGAAGUUGUCCGCAAAAAGGGCGGCGAUGCAGGAUGGCUCAGGAAACUGGAAAGGGCUGGUAAAUAUAACACCGAAACUUGGUCAUAA
Molecule: ribosomal RNA, 1959 nt
Filed under: Triticum aestivum (bread wheat)
Lineage: Eukaryota; Viridiplantae; Streptophyta; Magnoliopsida; Poales; Poaceae
Description: partial small subunit ribosomal RNA
Source: RNAcentral